Molecule: ribosomal RNA, 595 nt
Filed under: uncultured Bacteroidota bacterium
Lineage: Bacteria; Pseudomonadati; Bacteroidota
Description: bacterial SSU rRNA
Rfam family: Bacterial small subunit ribosomal RNA
Source: RNAcentral
CAACCUGCCCACCACUUGGGGAUAACCUUGCGAAAGUAAGACUAAUACCCAAUGAUAUCUCUAGAAGACAUCUGAAAGAGAUUAAAGAUUUAUCGGUGAUGGAUGGGGAUGCGUCUGAUUAGCUUGUUGGCGGGGUAACGGCCCACCAAGGCGACGAUCAGUAGGGGUUCUGAGAGGAAGGUCCCCCACAUUGGAACUGAGACACGGUCCAAACUCCUACGGGAGGCAGCAGUGAGGAAUAUUGGUCAAUGGACGAGAGUCUGAACCAGCCAAGUAGCGUGCAGGAUGACGGCCCUAUGGGUUGUAAACUGCUUUUAUAAGGGAAUAAAGUGAGUCUCGUGAGACUUUUUGCAUGUACCUUAUGAAUAAGGACCGGCUAAUUCCGUGCCAGCAGCCGCGGUAAUACGGAAGGUCCGGGCGUUAUCCGGAUUUAUUGGGUUUAAAGGGAGCGUAGGCCGGAGAUUAAGCGCGUUGUGAAAUGUAGACGCUCAACGUCUGCACUGCAGCGCGAACUGGUUUCCUUGAGUACGCACAAAGUGGGCGGAAUUCGUGGUGUAGCGGUGAAAUGCUUAGAUAUCACGAAGAACUCCGANUG